Cygnus olor (mute swan) is the source of this 387-nucleotide long non-coding RNA. RefSeq lists it as uncharacterized. The record is from RefSeq and is a predicted model, not a curated record. NCBI's taxonomy places the organism in Eukaryota, Metazoa, Chordata, Aves, Anseriformes, Anatidae. The transcript has 3 exons.
GAACAGAAACUUACUACGCACAUGGACUACAGAAAUAAGUGAGUUCCUGUGCCCAUUCAUCAAAUCACUUGAGCAUUGGUGUAAUGAGAGUAUUGUAGCGUUCUGCCACAGAAACCUGCCAGUGCAAAAGAGAAGGGGUCCAUAAGAGGGCUUUCAGCACUCAUAUCUUCAAAAGGAGUUAAUUAUAUGUAACUUCAGAAGUCCUGAAAAUUGUCUGAUAAUGGUCAAACCACCCAGGUGCUCAAGCCUUUCACUAAGAUACAACACUGUGUUACAAAUCCUGGUUCUACCUCCAGAAGAAAUGCUGUAUCUGUCUACUGCAAGUAGAGCAUUUCAUAGAGCCAGGGACCUCAGAAGCAACACCAUAGGAAGGGCUAAUUAGCUCAG